GAUCAUAUCUCAUGGACAUGGGCAUAAAGGCUUUAAGGAGAUAUUUUUACCUCAUCACGUUCCAGUCAUAUCUCUAUUGCACUUCGGCACCUGCAACAACAUUUACAUCUUCGAUGGAUGCAAGACCUGAACUUGGACAUCUCUGUAAUAACCUGAGAAUAGAUAGAUAGAUUUUGAAGGCUGAGCGGCCUUGCUAGAGGAUAUGUCGUAUAGUAAAUUAGUUGCUAUAUAGAUAUGUGUAUCAUUCUCUCUUCUCAUUGUGGACCCGUAGAGAUAAGGAAUAAUGUCUAGGAAAAUGCAAUUUACAAGAAACAUUCUUGCUCGGUAUAUCUUUCCCGUUAGAUGUAUAUAAAAUGUGGGUGCAGGUGCUUAAUCA
This is a long non-coding RNA of Eucalyptus grandis, 376 nucleotides long. RefSeq lists it as uncharacterized. The transcript has 2 exons. NCBI's taxonomy places the organism in Eukaryota, Viridiplantae, Streptophyta, Magnoliopsida, Myrtales, Myrtaceae. The record is from RefSeq and is a predicted model, not a curated record.